RNAcentral lists this ribosomal RNA (431 nucleotides) under uncultured bacterium. RNAcentral's name for it is "partial 16S ribosomal RNA". It matches the Rfam family "Bacterial small subunit ribosomal RNA", at positions 29 to 507 of the family's 1533-position model. The record is from RNAcentral.
AGCGAACGCUGGCGGCAGGCCUAACACGUGCAAGUCGAACGCCCCUUCGGGGGAGUGGCGGACGGGUGAGUAACGCGUGGGAAUGUGCCCUUUGGUACGGAACAACUGAGGGAAACUUCAGCUAAUACCGUAUGUGCCCUACGGGGGAAAGAUUUAUCGCCAUUGGAGCAGCCCGCGUUGGAUUAGGUAGUUGGUGGGGUAAUGGCCCACCAAGCCGACGAUCCAUAGCUGGUCUGAGAGGAUGAUCAGCCACACUGGGACUGAGACACGGCCCAGACUCCUACGGGAGGCAGCAGUGGGGAAUCUUGCGCAAUGGGCGAAAGCCUGACGCAGCCAUGCCGCGUGAAUGAUGAAGGUCUUAGGAUUGUAAAAUUCUUUCACCGGGGAAGAUAAUGACGGUACCCGGAGAAGAAGCCCCGGCUAACUUCGUG